RNAcentral lists this long non-coding RNA (385 nucleotides) under Gallus gallus (chicken). RNAcentral's name for it is "lncRNA (ENSGALG00010000748.1)". The record is from RNAcentral. Lineage: Eukaryota; Metazoa; Chordata; Aves; Galliformes; Phasianidae.
CCCAUGGCGCCCCAUAGAGUCCCAUAGUGUCCCCAUGGCGCCCCAUAGACGUCCCAUAGUGUCCCUAUGGCACCCCAUAACACCCCAUAGAGUCCCAUAGUGUCCCCAUGGCACCCCAUAACACCCCAUAGAGUCCCAUAGUGUCCCCAUGGCACCCCAUAACACCCCAUAGAGUCCCAUAGUGUCCCCAUGGCGCCCCACAGUGACCCCAUAGCGUCCCAUGGCGCCCCAUAGAGUCCCAUAGUGUCCCCAUGGCGCCCCAUAGACGUCCCAUAGUGUCCCUAUGGCACCCCAUAACACCCCAUAGAGUCCCAUAGUGUCCCCAUGGCACCCCAUAACACCCCAUAGAGUCCCAUAGUGUCCCCAUGGCGCCCCACAGUGACCC